AGAGACAGCAGCAGCGCGGGAAUACGAAGGGGGCUAGCGUUGUUCGGAAUCACUGGGCGUAAAGAGUGCGUAGGCGGAUCCUUAAGUCAGGGGUGAAAUCCCGAGGCUCAACCUCGGAACUGCCUUUGAUACUGGGGAUCUUGAGUCCGGAAGAGGUGAGUGGAACUGCGAGUGUAGAGGUGAAAUUCGUAGAUAUUCGCAAGAACACCGGUGGCGAAGGCGGCUCACUGGUCCGGAACUGACGCUGAGGCACGACAGCGUGGGGAGCAAACAGGAUUAGAUACCCGGGUAGUCCCUGUCUCUUAUACA
Molecule: ribosomal RNA, 309 nt
Filed under: uncultured bacterium
Lineage: Bacteria
Description: partial 16S ribosomal RNA
Rfam family: Bacterial small subunit ribosomal RNA
Source: RNAcentral